UACGGAGGGGGCAAGCGUUAUUCGGAAUUAUUGGGCGUAAAGGGCGCGUAGGCGGCUAGAUGUGUCAAAGGUGAAAUCCCUCGGCUCAACUGAGGAACUGCCUUUGAAACUGUCUGGCUUGAGGCCGGGAGAGGGUAGCGGAAUUCCCAGUGUAGCGGUGAAAUGCGUAGAUAUUGGGAGGAACACCAGUGGCGAAGGCGGCUACCUGGACCGGUUCUGACGCUGAGGCGCGAAAGCGUGGGUAGCAAAAGGG
RNAcentral lists this ribosomal RNA (253 nucleotides) under uncultured bacterium. RNAcentral's name for it is "partial 16S ribosomal RNA". It matches the Rfam family "Bacterial small subunit ribosomal RNA", at positions 524 to 776 of the family's 1533-position model. The record is from RNAcentral.